GAAUUGCUUUAGUCUUUAGUUCAGCUACUCAAAAUUUAUUUCAAAUUCGAAAAAAAAAAAAUUCUUUCCAAUUUUAUUUAAAAUGUCACUGCUUCUAAGAUUGGUUAUGCUUUUCAGCCAAUGUAAAGGCAUUUGUCAAAGUCUCAAUUUUUUCAUCCAACGCACCAACCAGACAAAGCGCAUGCGCGUGAGCAUCCAUUUUACUGCAAACAGCUGUGCCAUACACAUUUACACUUACUUAAAUGCAAA
Long non-coding RNA from Zeugodacus cucurbitae (melon fly), 249 nucleotides. RefSeq lists it as uncharacterized. The record is from RefSeq and is a predicted model, not a curated record. The transcript is spliced from 2 exons. NCBI's taxonomy places the organism in Eukaryota, Metazoa, Arthropoda, Insecta, Diptera, Tephritidae.